GCGCUUAACACAUGCAAGUCGCACGAGAAAGUGGAGCAAUCCAUGAGUACAGUGGCGUACGGGUGAGUAACACGUGGAUCAUCUACCUCUUGGUGGGGAAUAACCCUGGGAAACCGGGGCUAAUACCGCAUAAGCCUGCAAAGGGAAAGCAGCAAUGCGCCGAGAGAGGAGUCCGCGGCCGAUUAGCUGGUUGGUAGGGUAACGGCCUACCAAGGCAAUGAUCGGUAGCCGGCCUGAGAGGGCACACGGCCACACUGGCACUGAAACACGGGCCAG
Molecule: ribosomal RNA, 276 nt
Filed under: uncultured bacterium
Lineage: Bacteria
Description: partial 16S ribosomal RNA
Rfam family: Bacterial small subunit ribosomal RNA
Source: RNAcentral